AGUGAACGCUGGCGGCAGGCCUAACACAUGCAAGUCGAACGGCAGCACAAGAGAGCUUGCUCUCUGGGUGGCGAGUGGCGGACGGGUGAGGAAUGCAUCGGAAUCUGCCCAUUUGUGGGGGAUAACCUCGGGAAACCGGGACUAAUACCGCAUACGACCUACGGGUGAAAGCAGGGGAUCUUCGGACCUUGCGCAGAUGGAUGAGCCGAUGCCGGAUUAGCUAGUUGGAGGGGUAAUGGCCCACCAAGGCGACGAUCCGUAGCUGGUCUGAGAGGAUGAUCAGCCACACUGGGACUGAGACACGGCCCAGACUCCUACGGGAGGCAGCAGUGGGGAAUAUUGGACAAUGGGCGCAAGCCUGAUCCAGCCAUGCCGCGUGUGUGAAGAAGGCCUUCGGGUUGUAAAGCACUUUUGUUGGGAAAGAAAAGCAGCCGGUUAAUACCCGGUUGUCAUGACGGUACCCAAAGAAUAAGCACCGGCUAACUUCGUG
Molecule: ribosomal RNA, 490 nt
Filed under: uncultured bacterium
Lineage: Bacteria
Description: partial 16S ribosomal RNA
Rfam family: Bacterial small subunit ribosomal RNA
Source: RNAcentral